AUGCAAGCCCUGUCUAUUCCCCUCUAUUUUGGGGGGGCAAGGACAAGUCUUGUUCUUCUCACUCCUACACUCUGCAGGCAUUCCCUCCUCGAUGCAGGCACUGUCUAUCCCGGUCCAUCUUUUUCGGUCCAGCAGAUGUCUUGUUCUUCACACUCCUACACACUGCAGGCAUUCCCUCCUCAAUGCAAGCCCUGUCUAUCUCCCUCUGUUUUUUUUUUGGGGGGGUCUAGUUCAAGUCUUCUUCCCACCCCUCCACCCUGUAGGUUUUCCCUCCUCGACGCAAGACCUGUCUAUCCCCCUCCUUCUUUUUUGGCCAGGCACAUGCCUUGUUCUUCACACUCCUACAUUCUACAGGCAUUCCCUCCUCGAUGCAGGCACGGUCUAUCACUCUACAUAUUUUGGCCUCAAGCACUAGUCUUCUUCUUCCCACCCCUCCAUCCUGUAGGUUCUCCCUCCUCAACGCAAGCCCUAUCUAUCCCCCUCCAUCUUUUUUGGCCAAGCACAAGACUUGCUCUUCCCACACCUACACUCUGCAGGCAUUCCCUCCUCGACGCAGGCACUGUCUCUUCUCCUUCAUUUUUUUAUGUCCAGCACAAGUCUUUUUCUUCUCACUCCUACACUCUGGAGGCAUUCUCGAUGCAAGCCCUGUCUAUUCUCCUCCAUUUUUUCCCCAGCACAAGUCUUGUUCUUCUCACCCCGCCACUCUGUAGGUUUUCCCUCCUCAAGGUAAGCCGUCUAUGCCCCUCUAUUUUCGCCAAGCAAAAGUCUUGUUCUUCACACUCCUACACUCUGCAGACAUUCCCUCCUCAAUGCAAGCCCUGUGUAUCCCGCUCCAUUUUAUUGGGUCUAGCACAAGUCUUAUUUUUCACACCCCUCCACACUGUAGGUUUUCCUUCUUUGACUCAAGUCCUGUCUAUCACCUCCUCUUUUUUUCACCCAUCAGAAAGUUGGUUUUACUGCCCUGCACUUCUUUCCAGUCUUUCCCUACUCCAAGCAAGCCCAGGCUUUCAUCCAGUCUUUUCUGUCCCACAACAACCCUGGUUCUUAGUACCCUUCAUCUUUCCAGGCAUUCCCUCCUGUCUGUCGCUGGGCAAUGACAAUCUAGUUCUUCAACAACUCAUUCCAUAG
Molecule: long non-coding RNA, 1128 nt
Filed under: Pogona vitticeps (central bearded dragon)
Lineage: Eukaryota; Metazoa; Chordata; Lepidosauria; Squamata; Agamidae
Description: lncRNA (ENSPVIG00000008744.1)
Source: RNAcentral